RNAcentral lists this ribosomal RNA (685 nucleotides) under uncultured archaeon. RNAcentral describes it as "bacterial SSU rRNA". It matches the Rfam family "Archaeal small subunit ribosomal RNA", at positions 79 to 764 of the family's 1478-position model. The record is from RNAcentral.
AGGCAGACGGCUCAGUAACACGUAGUCAACCUACCCUAUGGACGAGAAUAAUCUCGGGAAACUGAGCAUAAUUCUUGAUAGACCAUAAUGCCUGGAAUGGUUUAUGGUUAAAAUGAUUCGUCGCCAUAGGAUGGGACUGCGGCCUAUCAGCUUGUUGGUGAGGUAAUGGCCCACCAAGGCGAUUACAGGUACGGGCUCUGAGAGGAGAAGCCCGGAGAUGGGUACUGAGACACGGACCCAGGCCCUAUGGGGCGCAGCAGGCGAGAAAACUUUGCAAUGUGCGAAAGCACGACAAGGUUAAUCCGAGUGAUUUCUGCUAAAGAAAUCUUUUGCCAGUCGUAAAACCGCUGGUGAAUAAGGGGUGGGCAAGUUCUGGUGUCAGCCGCCGCGGUAAAACCAGCACCUCAAGUGGUCAGGAUGAUUAUUGGGCCUAAAGCAUCCGUAGCCGGCUUUGUAAGCUUUCGGUUAAAUCCAUGUGCUCAACGCAUGGGCUGCCGAAAAUACUGCAUAGCUAGGGAGUGGAAGAGGUAGACGGUACUCAGUAGGUAGGGGUAAAAUCCUUUGGUCUAUUGAUGACCACCUGUGGCGAAGGCGGUCUACCAGAACACGUUCGACGGUGAGGGAUGAAAAGCUGGGGGAGCAAACCGGAUUAGAUACCCGGGUAGUCCCAGCUGUAAACGAUGCA